UUCUUUCCUUCUUUCCAGGGUCUCUCUGUGUUGCACAGGCCGCAGUGCAGUGGCGCAAUCUCAGUUCAUUGCAAGCUUCGCCUCACAGGUUCAAGUGAUUCUCGUGCCUCAGUCUCCUGAGUAGCUGGGAUUACAGGCAUGCACCACCACUUCUGGCUCGUUUUUGUAUUUUUAGUAGAGAUGGGGUUUCAACAUGUUGGCCAGACUGGUCUUGACUUUCUGGCCUCAAGUGACCCGCCCGCCUCAGACUCCCAAAGUGCUGGGAUUACAGGCAUGAGCUGCUGUGCCUGGCCUCUUGUCACCUUUUCUGAUUUUUCCUUGGUGGCUCUCUAAGGAGAAGGCCCCAAAUGGACUCAAGAGCAGAAAAGACAACCGAUUCUAGGGCCACAUAGAGACGCUUUAGACAAUUAAAACUCCUGGAUUGAAGAGUGUUGACACAGAGACACAGAUUCCAGCUGCACUGCCCCGCCUCAGCCUUGGGAAAUUCUCUGGAUGAUUAUAUAGGAUUGAGCUGCUCCUUCUGGGGGAUCACAGAAAAUCCAGAUGCAGGUGCAUUCAGGCCCAAACUUGUGAGAGAGGCAAAUGGUGGCCACCCUCCCCAGGCACUUUAGCCGCUUCUCACUGAGCUUGCCCCAACUUGGCCAUGCCGCUGUCUCACGAUCCCUCUCCACUCUGCCACUGUCAUCCCCCUUGCCCCUCAUUUUUCCACACCCAUCCUCUCUCAUGAAGCUUUUCACAUUCUUCCUUCAAAAGCUAUUGCUUGUUGUGUGAUGUGAGUGAAAAUAACUUCUACCACCACAACUCAGUCCUGCAGGCUUUUUGUCACUUACUGAAGCAAUUAAAGGCUAAUAGCACUUGUUUGUGUUUCCAGAGCAGAGCAUAGAAGUGCAUAUCUGUAGUCCCUAAAGUCAGCUCAUGCAGGACAGAGUAUUCUGGACACACAGCACGAAUCGGAAGAGCUGUGGAAUCAGUUUGGGAAAAUGUUGAAUUGCAUAUAAGAGGAGGAGAUUUAACAUCUGCGCAUGUUUUCUCUAGUACUAUCUGUCUAUCUGUCUAUCUAUCUAUCUAUCUAUCUAUCUAUCUAUCUAUCUAUCAUCUAUCUACCUACUUACUUAUCUACCUACCUACCUACCUACCUACUUAUCUACUUACCUAUAAAUGAAUAAUAGCUGCUGGUGGGUAACUGUGGCUCUUUGUUUUCAUGUAAAGAGCAUAUUUCAGAGAAGUGGACUUGUUUCACUUUUUUUUUUUUUUUUUUUUUUUUUUUUUAGGUCCUAAAUGUAGCUUCUAGGAGACUUAGUUUAGGGGAAGUAAAGAAAAUGAUGUUAACUGUGGAUCACUGGGCCCUCAGGGCAGAUGCCCACCCAUCUGGAUACCGGAGAUAGCACCUGCUCCUAGUUUCAUGGCCGAUUUUGCCUGCGUCUGCUUCACUGGUUGUACCCAUGGGUGGUGACUUCUUCAGAAAGUGAUCUCAUAACCUGUUUGCACAUUGUUUUGGAAGUAAACGUUGCCAGAGAUUAAAGUAUUAAAUGUAAUCUUACUUACCCUUCUAGAGGACAUUGCGGCAAAAAUAUUCUUCCAAAGGGAUGCCUGAUAUUACAGAUGGAUCCAGGUUUUGUAGGGCCUAUGUUUAUGCAAUUUUGUAGAACUUCUUUAAUAAAAAGUAUAUAAAAAGUUGAUUUCAUAGAAGUAAAAAGUAGUAUAGAAGAUACCUGAGGCUGGGAAGGGUAAGAGGAAGGAGGAUGAUGAGAGAUUUUUGAAAGGAUACAAAGUUACAGCUAGAUAGGAGAAACAAGUUCCAGUGUUUUAUUUCACUGUAGGAUGACUAUAAUUAGUAAUAAUAUGUAGUGUCAAAUGGCUAGGAGGAUAUCAAAUGUUCUCAACACAAAAAAUAAUAAACGUUUGAGAUCUGAUCACUAAACAUUACAUGUACAGCACUAUGUACCCCAUAAAUGUGUACAAUCAUUAUACAUCAAUUAAGAAAUAAAAGAAAAAAGAAAAAGUAUUGAUACGGUUUGAUUCUGUGUCCCCAUCUAAAUUUCAUCUUGAACUGUAGUCCCCUUGUGUCAGGGUAGGGACUUCCUGGGAGGUGACUGGAUCAUGGGGGCGGUUUCCCACACGCUGGUCUCAUGAUAGUGAGUGAGUUCUCAUGAGAUCUGGUGGUUUAAAAAUGUUUGGCAGUUGUCGCUUUGCUCUUUUUCUCUCCUGCCACCAUGUAAGACGGCCUCACUUCCCCUUUGCCUUUCACCAUGACUGUAAAUUUCCUGAUGCCUCCCCAGCCACGUGGAACUGUGCGGUGGCUAACGCCUGUAAUCCCAGCACUUUCGGAGGCCGAGCUGGGUGGAUCACGACGUCAGGAGUUCAAGACCAGCCUGGCCAAGAUGGUGAAACCCCAUCUCUACUGAAAAUACAAAAAUUAGCCAGGCGCACUGGCACACGCCUGUAAUCCCAGCUACUCGGGAGGCUGAGGCAGGGAAUUGCUUGAACCAGGGAGGUGGAGGUUACAGUGAGCCCAGAUCAUGCCACUGCACUCCAGCCUGGGCAACGGAGCGAGACUCUGUCUCACAAAAAAUAAAUAAAUAAAAGAAAAGAAAAAUAAAUAAAUAAAAAAUAAAAUCUGUAAGUUGGCAUUUUCCUUUCUUCUUUGUAUCAGUGCCUGUGCUUUGAUGAACAGGAGAGAAUAAACAUUCGGUUUACAUAAAAUUUGUUAAUGUAUUUGGCAUCAGGGCUUAUGAAGCUUCAGAAAACAAAGAGGUAAUAAUAUUAUACUUAAAAUGUUAGAUUUUAUGUCAGAUACUGUGGGCAUGUUUUUGAACGAGCGUGACUUGAUACGUAGUCAAGGGACACUUUCAUAUAAAAGAGGAUGGUAAUAAGUCACAGGCAAAUUAGUGGUGCACACAGAUUUCUACGAUUAAGCUUAAUCCAAAUGUUCCUACAAGAAAUGAACUGCAAACAAGCAGGAUUCAGGCUUCCAAAGAUGUAACCAUCCAAAAUGCCUACUACAAAAUAGUGUGUCUCAGUCUUCAUAGUUU
This 3032-nucleotide long non-coding RNA is filed under the name Homo sapiens (human). RNAcentral describes it as "HSALNT0113486". The record is from RNAcentral. Lineage: Eukaryota; Metazoa; Chordata; Mammalia; Primates; Hominidae.